RNAcentral lists this ribosomal RNA (305 nucleotides) under uncultured bacterium. Its description in RNAcentral is "bacterial SSU rRNA". It matches the Rfam family "Bacterial small subunit ribosomal RNA", at positions 337 to 659 of the family's 1533-position model. The record is from RNAcentral.
UCCUACGGGACGCAGCAGUAGGGAAUCUUCCACAAUGGACGAAAGUCUGAUGGAGCAACGCCGCGUGAGUGAAGAAGUAUUUCGGUAUGUAAAGCUCUAUCAGCAGGGAAGAAAAUGACGGUACCUGACUAAGAAGCCCCGGCUAACUACGUGCCAGCAGCCGCGGUAAUACGUAGGGGGCAAGCGUUAUCCGGAUUUACUGGGUGUAAAGGGAGCGUAGACGGCGUAUCAAGUCUGAUGUGAAAGGCAGGGGCUCAACCCCUGGACUGCAUUGGAAACUGGUAUGCUUGAGCGCCGGAGGGGUA